RNAcentral lists this small RNA (1557 nucleotides) under Rattus norvegicus (Norway rat). Its description in RNAcentral is "uncharacterized LOC102548837". Lineage: Eukaryota; Metazoa; Chordata; Mammalia; Rodentia; Muridae. The record is from RNAcentral.
UGUAGCAAAUGGACAUCCAAAAAAAUUUCAGUUGAAAAUUGUCAAGACGGCAGAAGACCAAGAGGCAGAGAGAAGAGUGGAAACUGACUUCUCCUAGCAAAUGCUGUCUUUGCUUAGAGCACUACACUGUCUCUUUACUGGAAUUUUCUAGAGCUACCUAAGGAAGGAACACAGAUGCUGAUUUCUACCUUCCGAGGUCUCACUUUAUGACAUUGUCGAACAGAUCCGAAUAUUCACAAAUCCUUAAGGGAUUACAUCCAGAAACGGACUUCCCCAAGAACUGGCAUCCAAGAUGGCCUCCAAAGUCCUGACUCCUUUAAUGUGCAAUUACCAGUUGUGUAGUUUCCCAUGAAUUCACAUUCAAGUGAAAACAGCGCCUUAAAUGAUAUAACUUCACUCUGAAUGCUGGCCUAAAAGGAAGCCUGCUGUGUCAAACAGGCUCACCUAAGUCUACAGAAGUCAACUAGUGCUCACUGUCAUCUGCAAGCAGUGCUCCAGUGGGGACCGAAUGUGCUUCUUCAGGACCAUCUGUAACACGGGGGUAGGGUGAUGAUUGAUCUUUUUGCAUGAUAUAUUUAUGUUAAGUAUUAAUCAACAGCUCUUGAUAAAGAAAAACACCGCGUACGCCUAAGCAAACACACAUGACACUGAAAAAUGAUUUUAAAUGCAAGCAGCUUUGCAGACAUUCUCAUGAAGGAUCCCAAGCGUUAGCAGUUACAGUCUCAGGGGGAAGACUGGUCUCCAUCCAUGAAACAAAUGUUGAGACUUUUUAAAUACAUGAGAUGUUGCAACACAGAUGUCAAGAUGCAUUGAUACUAAGAGUUGGAGGAACAGGGAAAAUGAUGGCAGCGUAAGACAGGCCCAUGUCAAGGAAGUGUUAAGCAGGAGAAGAGAAAAUGGAGGAAAGAGUGUGCUUUCUCCUCUUCCCUUCCACUGGGUAUGAAUGUACUGAGGCAUUGUUUUCAUGGGAGCUGCUUGGAUAGCUGUAUUCAAAGCCAAGCCUGGACCAAACAAUGGCAUCGGGCACUUGUUAAGCAUCUCUUUAUGCUGGAACAUCUGCUAGAGGCUUCAUUAUUCUUUUAUCCAACAGAGAGUGCAAUUCUUGUUAUCCACAGACGGAUGAAAGACAUCUCCUAGGUUAUAAAAGCAGCAUUAAGAGUCUUUUCCUCCCUAUGCUGAAACACUGAAAGUACUAGGACUGGGGAGACAACCUGCCUUUAAGAGCACUUGUCGCCUUGUAGAGGACCUAGGUCUGAUUCCCAGAACCCACACAGAGGUUCAUAACCACUUAUAACUCCAGUUACAAGGGAUCAAUGCCCUCUUCUGACCUCCUCAGGUACUAGGCACACGUAGUCCACAUGCAUAUAUGGAGCCAAAAUUUACACAUUUAAAAUAAGUAAAUCUAAAAAGUAUUACAAAAACUGUUGUUAGUGUACAUAGACAUCAUUGCUGUGCCAAGAGGUAACCAACAGGUGUGACACUUUCUAAGAAGUAUAACACUAAAAUAUAUUCCAUUUUCAUACAGCUGUCCAUCCCUAGUAAUAGUAUUCCUGGGAG